AUUAAAUAGAGUUUGAUCCUGGCUCAGAAUAAAUGCUAUUGGUAUGCUUAACACAUGCAAGUUGAAUGUUUAAUUUUUAAACAUAGCGAACGGGUGAGUAACGCGUGAAUUAUCUACCUUUUAAUUCAGGAUAAUUAUUUUAUAUAAAAAUACUGAAUAAUUUUAAUAAAGUUUUAAUAACGUUAAAAGAUGAGUUUGCGUAAGAUUAGGUAGUUGGUAGUUUAAAAGACUACCAAGCCGACUAUCUUUAGCUGGUUUGAAAGAAUGAUCAGCCACAUUGGGACUGAGACACGGCCCAAACUUUUUUAAAGGCAGCAGUGGGGAAUUUUGGACAAUGAGCGAAAGCUUGAUCCAGCAAUACCAAGUGAGUGAAGAAGGCUAAUUAGGUUGUAAAGCUCUUUCAUUAAGGAGGAAAAU
Molecule: non-coding RNA, 417 nt
Filed under: Globisporangium ultimum DAOM BR144
Lineage: Eukaryota; Oomycota; Peronosporomycetes; Pythiales; Pythiaceae
Description: Pythium ultimum DAOM BR144 Bacterial small subunit ribosomal RNA
Rfam family: Bacterial small subunit ribosomal RNA
Source: Rfam by way of RNAcentral